RNAcentral lists this ribosomal RNA (444 nucleotides) under uncultured organism. Its description in RNAcentral is "bacterial SSU rRNA". It matches the Rfam family "Bacterial small subunit ribosomal RNA", at positions 29 to 507 of the family's 1533-position model. The record is from RNAcentral.
AACGAACGCUGGCGGCACGCCUAACACAUGCAAGUCGAACGAGAGCAUACUUUCGGGUAUGUUUCUAGUGGCGGACGGGUGAGUAACGCGUGGGUAUCUGCCUCAAGGUGGGGGAUAACUGUUGGAAACGACAGCUAAUACCGCAUGAUCCCGUAAGGGCAAAGAUUUAUCGCCUUGAGAGGAGCCCGCGUCGGAUUAGGUAGUUGGUAGGGUAACGGCCUACCAAGCCGAUGAUCCGUAACUGGUCUGAGAGGAUGACCAGUCACACUGGGACUGAGACACGGCCCAGACUCCUACGGGAGGCAGCAGUGGGGAAUCUUGGACAAUGGGGGCAACCCUGAUCCAGCGAUGCCGCGUGAGUGAAGAAGGCCUUAGGGUUGUAAAGCUCUUUCACCCGUGAAGAUAAUGACGGUAGCGGGAGAAGAAGCCCCGGCUAACUCCGUG